AACCGAUUUGUAUGCAUAUAACUGACAUCGCUUUUUACUGUUGACAGAUGACAAAACUUUUGUUUGAAUUUUCAGAAAACCGCUGAGCGGCUAAGUUAAAAUUUGUAAAAGAAGCGCGGGGGAGGAAAAACUCAUUCCCACACUUAGACAUAUUUAGAGUAACAUUGACUUCAGCUUGCCCUAACACUAUUCGACCAAACCUCCCUUUUCUGCUUCGUUCUCCGCCUCCGACAAAAAUCAUCCUCCUCUUCGUUCUCCGCCUCAGACCACAACCCUCCUCCUCGUCUCCGUUCUCCGGCUACAAUCAGAACCCUACCCUCCUCCUUUUCCGCCUCGGACCAGCUCCUCUGCUCGACGAUGGAAUGCCGCAUCUCUUCUCUCUCUCUCUCUCUUUCCUUCUCUCUCCUGCAAAACUGGUGGCUCUGGUUAUCUGGACUUCCAAGCUUCCAGCUCUCCACCUCUGGUUAUCCAUAUUCGCUGGUGAGUCGGUGACAUUGCUGGUUCACAAUUUCAAUCGAAGGCUCGAACUCUUCCUCUUGCUGUGAAGCCGCAAAGCAGAAAUUUUGGGUUCGAAGCUUGGUGAUUCUUCAAGCUCGAUUUAUGGGUUUUGGAUUCAGUGAUUCUUCAACUCUUCACUCUUGUUAAGUUUCUGGGCGCAUUGUCAUUUGUAUGAUGGUAUCAAACUGUGAAUUGUUUCUGGGUUUAAUGUUUUCAAUCGAUCUGUUCUGGGUUUUCAGUUGAAGUAUCGAGCUCGUGGUCAACUGGUCUUGCUCUUGGAGUCUUGGUUCGAUUCAGAAAUCUUCAAGCUCAGGAUCCAAAGGAGGAGGCUAAAGCAGAGACAAGGGAUUGGAUAAACACUGUGGAUGAUUCUGCUGCACUUAGGAGUGCUGCUUCUACCUGGCACGCUGAACUGGCACCGCUCCUGAAGCCCUUGCUUGUAGUCAAUAUAGGAGGCCCUUCUGGUAAACUUUUGCACCUAAACCUCUGUUAUGAUUUCCAUUUUGUCCUCUUAUUAGGAUAUAAUUAUGUUCGAUUUCUUUGAUAUUUAUGGAAUUCAUUACGAAACAUCAAAAAGUAUCCUGACAUUGCUAACAAAACUUGCCAACACAUUUUUCCUUGUACUUUUAGAUUCAGUAUAUAUAGCUUGCUAGCUUAGCUAGAGAGAAACAUUAAGUCUUAGUUCCUAAGUUGACAACUUCACUACACACACAAACUGAUCAACUAUACACAGAAGAAGUGAUCAAGAAGUAGAAUGCAGUAGUAGUAAUGGCAGAUUGGGGACCGGUGGUGAUAGCGGUGGUGUUGUUUGUGCUGUUAAGUCCAGGGCUACUAUUUCAGCUGCUGGGGAAGAGCAGAGUGGUGGAGUUUGGCAACAUGCAAACCAGCGGACUAUAGUUGUAUUAUAUGCUCUUCAGAACCUGUGCCUCUGUUUGUAGUAACAAAUAUGUCCAAUUUUGUUUCCACUGCCACUUAUUUACUUCUUUCUUUUUAUUUAGAUGACUAUGGUAGUAAUCUAAUUUUGUAGGUAAAAUACAUCUCCCUUGAUGAAGCUGCAAGGUUAUUACUUGGGGAUGCACACAAUGCAUCCGUAAUAAGAACAGCUAAAGUAAGGCGGAUUUAUGAUAUUGCAAAUGUUUCGUCCUCCAUGAAUCUUAUUGAAAAGACCCAUGCAGCAGAUACAAGGAAGCCUGCAUAUAAAUGGUUUCACCAAGUUAUAAAGGAAUUACU
This is a long non-coding RNA of Rosa rugosa (rugosa rose), 1728 nucleotides long. RefSeq lists it as uncharacterized. The record is from RefSeq and is a predicted model, not a curated record. The transcript has 7 exons. Lineage: Eukaryota; Viridiplantae; Streptophyta; Magnoliopsida; Rosales; Rosaceae.